UACGUAGGGUGCAAGCGUUGUCCGGAAUUAUUGGGCGUAAAGAGCUCGUAGGCGGUUCGUCGCGUCGGCUGUGAAAACCCGGAGCUCAACUCCGGGCCUGCAGUCGAUACGGGCGGACUAGAGUGUUGCAGGGGAGACUGGAAUUCCUGGUGUAGCGGUGAAAUGCGCAGAUAUCAGGAGGAACACCGGUGGCGAAGGCGGGUCUCUGGGCAACUACUGACGCUGAGGAGCGAAAGCGUGGGGAGCAAACAGG
This 253-nucleotide ribosomal RNA is filed under the name uncultured bacterium. RNAcentral's name for it is "partial 16S ribosomal RNA". It matches the Rfam family "Bacterial small subunit ribosomal RNA", at positions 524 to 776 of the family's 1533-position model. The record is from RNAcentral.